This 1798-nucleotide long non-coding RNA is filed under the name Homo sapiens (human). Its description in RNAcentral is "PREDICTED lncRNA (TCONS_00005051)". Lineage: Eukaryota; Metazoa; Chordata; Mammalia; Primates; Hominidae. The record is from RNAcentral.
AAGAGUAAAGUACUUCCGCUUCCUUAGGUGGAGCUGGAAAGGUGGAGGCGGAAGUGACUGAUCAAUUCAGGGGCGUGGGGUUCGUUUAGGUUUUGCCCUGUGUAUGACCUCGUUUGGAGCCAUGAAACCAGCCUCAAGCUUUAUUCUAGGAAGGUGGCUUUUCUACAAUAUAAAGAUGGAAAUGGGAAGAAGAUGUUCAUUGCAAAUUAAGGAAGCUCUUCCACGAGUUCACGAAUGGAAAUAACAUCAAGAGUUUUUCAUCUUCUUAGUGUGCAAGAUAAAUAUCAAGGAGUGCAAUUCCUGGAUUUAUGAUGUCUGAGGAAUAGUCUUAGUGGAUUAUCCCAAACUUGACACAUUUUUUGCAAAAUGCUAUACAAAAAGAAGAUACAUGCGAUUAUGACAAGAUUCUCCACUUGGUGUGACCAGUCUCAUACAACCCAAGGCUGUGUGUCCAAAGGCAACUGUACUGAUCUUGACAAUAAUCAAAAGGUAGCCAGGUGCAUCGGGGAAAGCACUGACAUUGGAGUCAGACAGACUGAAGUUCAUAUCUGAUUCUGCUAUAUGACAACGUGUGGGCUAUGUGGCUAACUUCUCAGAGCUUCAGUUUUCUCAAGGGCAAAAUGAAAAUAAUAGAAAUAAUAGAAUCCACCUCACAGGGCUGUGGUGAGAAUUGGAGAUGAAGCACAUACAGCAUAUUACAUCAACUAAACACAUGCUAAAAAUUAAAGGGGAUGAAAGAUACAUUGGUCCCUGCAGUGGGAAGUUUCCUUGACAAUGCAAUUAUUGAUUCCAGAAGGCUGAACAAAUGUUGACAGAGGAACACACUGUUUGCUUAUGUCUAAUCUUCCCAUCUGACUUAUAUAAAUGUCACAAAUGAAUCUCAGACAUGUGCCCAAUAUCAAAUAUCCAUACGAUGGCCCUGGAAAGAGGCAAUCUACAUUUAUGGCUGAUGAGAAGAUGGAUUUUUAGCUUGAAAGAAACUUAUUACUGGGGAGAGGAAGUAUAAAUGAAUGGAGAGAGCUAUGAAGAGGUUGAGAGAAUACAGCCAAGGCACAUGACAGAAUUGCUCUGUUGAAGUUUUGCAAGGUCAAAUGACUCACUUUGUCUAAUGGAACGGGAACGAACAAUUUUUUUGUGUCACGUUUGAACAGAUACCUUUGAGAAGUUUAUGAUUCUCCAAGUUCUCUUUCUCCUACUGUGGCACCUACUGACAAGAUAAAUGUGUAGAGGUUCCUGAGUCUAGGGGCACUGGAACCAGCUGACUGAUCUAUGGAAGUUCCCUUGGUCUCCAUUUGUUUAGAAAAGGGAUGAAGAAACUGAGGCCCACAGAAGGUGGGUGAUACCUGCAAAAUCACAAGCUUUCAUGGUGAAAGAAGAGGGCAAAACUCAACCCGUCUCUUUAGACUUGGGAAGAAUAUGAAAGGACCAGGAGGGACACCUUUCCUAAUAACCUAGCUGAUGGUUCACUUAUUAGGCUGGAAAGCUGAAAAAUGACAUUCCCAGACUCCAUUGAAAUUAGAUUUCCAGAGAGUUGUCUCACUAAGCCCAAAUUUGUCUAACUGGCCUUAUUUCCCUGGAGUAUAUCCUGGAAGUUUCCAUUCAAGCCAAUUUAAGUUACUUUAAAUUAGGAAAGGCAGAAAACAAAAGCCCAAACCUUUGUAAAGGAGGAGGAUUUGCUACAUUGUUCUCAAUUCAUCACAGAAGAGGAUGAAACUGAGUGAUUACACUUGCUGGAGAGAAAAAAAGUCCUUCCCCCGCUCACCCCAAAUAAAGCAUUAACUUUAUGUUAAUCCAUGAA